GACGAACGCUGGCGGCGUGCUUAACACAUGCAAGUCGAACGGAAAGGCCCUGCUUUUGUGGGGUGCUCGAGUGGCGAACGGGUGAGUAACACGUGAGUAACCUGCCCUUGACUUUGGGAUAACUUCAGGAAACUGGGGCUAAUACCGGAUAGGAGCUCCUGCUGCAUGGUGGGGGUUGGAAAGUUUCGGCGGUUGGGGAUGGACUCGCGGCUUAUCAGCUUGGUGGUGGGGUAGUGGCUUACCAAGGCUUUGACGGGUAGCCGGCCUGAGAGGGUGACCGGCCACAUUGGGACUGAGAUACGGCCCAGACUCCUACGGGAGGCAGCAGUGGGGAAUAUUGCACAAUGGGCGGAAGCCUGGUGCAGCAACGCCGCGUGCGGGAUGACGGCCUUCGGGUUGUAAACCGCUUUCGCCUGUGACGAAGCGUGAGUGACGGUAAUGGGUAAAGAAGCACCGGCUAACUACGUG
Molecule: ribosomal RNA, 468 nt
Filed under: uncultured bacterium
Lineage: Bacteria
Description: partial 16S ribosomal RNA
Rfam family: Bacterial small subunit ribosomal RNA
Source: RNAcentral